This 515-nucleotide ribosomal RNA is filed under the name melanized limestone ascomycete CR-2004. Its description in RNAcentral is "SSU rRNA". It matches the Rfam family "Eukaryotic small subunit ribosomal RNA", at positions 38 to 557 of the family's 1831-position model. Lineage: Eukaryota; Fungi; Ascomycota. The record is from RNAcentral.
CAAAGAUUAAGCCAUGCAUGUCUAAGUAUAAGCAACUAUACGGUGAAACUGCGAAUGGCUCAUUAAAUCAGUUAUCGUUUAUUUGAUAGUACCUUACUACAUGGAUAACCGUGGUAAUUCUAGAGCUAAUACAUGCUAAAAGCCCCGACUUCGGAAGGGGUGUAUUUAUUAGAUAAAAAACCAAUGCCCUUCGGGGCUGCUUGGUGAAUCAUAAUAACUUCACGAAUCGCAUGGCCUUGCGCCGGCGAUGGUUCAUUCAAAUUUCUGCCCUAUCAACUUUCGAUGGUAGGAUAGUGGCCUACCAUGGUUUCAACGGGUAACGGGGAAUUAGGGUUCGACUCCGGAGAGGGAGCCUGAGAAACGGCUACCACAUCCAAGGAAGGCAGCAGGCGCGCAAAUUACCCAAUGCCGACACGGCGAGGUAGUGACAAUAAAUACUGAUCCAGGGCUCUUUCGGGUCUUGGAAUUGGAAUGAGUACAAUUUAAAUCCCUUAACGAGGAACAACUGGAGGGCA